This is a long non-coding RNA of Pomacea canaliculata, 1021 nucleotides long. RefSeq lists it as uncharacterized. The record is from RefSeq and is a predicted model, not a curated record. The transcript is spliced from 2 exons. NCBI's taxonomy places the organism in Eukaryota, Metazoa, Mollusca, Gastropoda, Architaenioglossa, Ampullariidae.
CAGAAAAAUAUGUCCCAUGGACAACCCUGUGAAUAGUUCUUGAGUGAGUGGAUGAAAUAAUGGUCUGAGACGUCCAAUGCAAGAUUGCAGACCUGGACAACACGCAAUUAGUGUGCAAUGCACGUGGCGAUGAGCUUAUAGAAGGAUCCAGUGCCCAGCACUUUAAUGUCUGACGGGAGUCGAAGAACACCUAGUCUCUGACAAGCACUCCGCGGUGACCAAACUGAAUCCCAACCCGCCAUACUUAGCUGCACCGACAGCGGUAACAUGACCCCUGACCCUCAUUUAUAAAGUCCACAGUUAGCGCGCCACGCUCGUGCAAGGAAGUUAACGCGCGUCAGAUGUGACCAUCAGCAGGCAGCAGGCGCCAGCAAUGACGCACUAACAAAUGGCCACGUGACGUCUGGAGGCCACUUCCGGCUGCGAACGCGCACAUCAGGCGAAAUGAAAAGUAUAAUGAUAAGCGGCAAAGACGACUGCGCCACCACCCUGGCUGUACGAGCCAGAUAUAAAUGAUUGUCGUAAACCAGACCUGACUGGCUGUUGGAACCAGAAACAAAUGAUUGUCGUAAGAUUUGCCGGUCACCAUCGACCACCCGCAGCAGGGAGUCAUGCAUCUAUGUCCGCCGAACAGCAGACACAAGAAGAAAGUGCGACUGGUCCUCGGUCUUGAAAGCUAACAUCCGCUGGGACAGAUCCACACGAUUCGGAUUUCCACAGACGUGCCAGCUGCCCCGGUCAUGGUGGAUGCAUCCAGAAUGUUCAGGUAAAGAAGAAAAGUGGUUACAUGUGUCUGCACUCGAAUCUACGAAGUUUCAUGUGUGACUUAUCUUUAAUCUCGAGAAGUCAGCGCGCGGUCAUCCGGUGUACCAUCGAGCAUCCGCUGUGUCUGAUAGGACGUGUAACUUCCGGCAAGGGACGAUAACCUGCACAACUGUGCUCCGCAUGUUCGUGCUUCUAGAAGUCUCUCAUACUUACACCAUCUGUCAAAGAAUCGCUAGUAAAAGUCUGAACGAUUUCA